GACGAACGCUGGCGGCGUGCUUAACACAUGCAAGUCGAACGGAAAGGCCCUGCUUGCAGGGUACUCGAGUGGCGAACGGGUGAGUAACACGUGGGUGAUCUGCCCUGCACUUCGGGAUAAGCUUGGGAAACUGGGUCUAAUACCGGAUAGGAACCAUCUUUAGUGUGGUGGUUGGAAAGUUUUUUUCGGUGUAGGAUGAGCUCGCGGCCUAUCAGCUUGUUGGUGGGGUAAUGGCCUACCAAGGCGGCGACGGGUAGCCGGCCUGAGAGGGUGUACGGCCACAUUGGGACUGAGAUACGGCCCAGACUCCUACGGGAGGCAGCAGUGGGGAAUAUUGCACAAUGGGCGCAAGCCUGAUGCAGCGACGCCGCGUGGGGGAUGAAGGCCUUCGGGUUGUAAACUCCUUUCGCUAGGGACGAAGCUUUGUUGUGACGGUACCUAGAUAAGAAGCACCGGCUAACUACGUG
Molecule: ribosomal RNA, 467 nt
Filed under: uncultured bacterium
Lineage: Bacteria
Description: partial 16S ribosomal RNA
Rfam family: Bacterial small subunit ribosomal RNA
Source: RNAcentral